This 252-nucleotide long non-coding RNA is filed under the name Mus spicilegus (steppe mouse). RNAcentral's name for it is "lncRNA (ENSMSIG00000012514.1)". The record is from RNAcentral. Lineage: Eukaryota; Metazoa; Chordata; Mammalia; Rodentia; Muridae.
CGCAGCUGGGCCCUCAAGGCAGGGCCUGGGCGAGGUGCGGAUGGAGAUGCAUCCAGGUCUGGAGUUCUGGGAAAGUGAAGCCUCCAUCUUCUAGAAGAACAAGAGAAGGCACUUGCCACAAUGAUGGGAAGUCUAACAUAUGGAGUACAGAAUCUGCCGAGUAGGAAGAGAUCCCAGAUCAGUCCUGAUGGAUGGCAGUUGGAGUUUAGCAUGUCACGUAACAGCUCAGGGACAGUCUAUCAGAUGGCCUGA